UGAGGGAAAGUUGCAAAGAACUUUGWAGAGAGAGUUCAAGAGUACGUGAAACUGYYCAKAGGUAAACGGGUGGGCCCUCGAAAAUUGCGAGCGUGGGGGGAUUCAGUCGGGAGCGCGCGCGGGCGCGGCGGCCCAGUACCCGGAUCGGGGAAUGUCCGCUCGCGACCCGCGUCCGCGGCGCGACCGACGCACUUCUCCCCGCGCAUGCGAGCGCCACUGCCGGUCGGGUAGCUGCGAGAGUUGGCCUGAGGGGCGGGCGACGGCAGGUGGCGGGGUUCGGGACCCGUUCCCGUCCUCCGUCGUUAGCCUACCCGUCCGGGGCGCGACACCCGACCGAGUCGAUGGACCCCCGCAGGGGGGUCCAGCCGUCCCCUCCCUCAGAAGGGAGCCGGCGGGCCCGGACGCGCGACCGCGACGGCCUCGCGGUCGUCACUGUGCACAGUGGACCGCGGGCACCGCACGCGACGUCUGGCCCGCCAGGCCGGGGGGACGACGGCCGGCGGCGAGUAGGUCGGUAACCCACCCGACCCGUCUUGUAACACGGUCAAAGGAGUCUAACAUGUGCGCGAGUCCCCGGGACUUGCCCAGGCCCGGGGGCGCAAUGAAGGUGGAAGGGGGCGGCCGCCCGUCGGCCGCCACGGUGCUGGGACCCCCGCUCCGGUUCGCCGGUUGGGCGGAGUCGGAGCGUACACUUUGGGACCCGGAAGAUGGUGAACUAUGCCUGGACAGGACGAGGUCAGAGGAAACUCUGGUGGAGGUCCGCAGCGGUUCUGACGUGCAAGUCGAUCGUCGGAUCCGGG
This 800-nucleotide ribosomal RNA is filed under the name Hoplopholcus sp. Tur7. Its description in RNAcentral is "partial 28S ribosomal RNA". The record is from RNAcentral. Lineage: Eukaryota; Metazoa; Arthropoda; Arachnida; Araneae; Pholcidae.